CAGCCAGAGGAAGUGUUUUGGUGCUUGCUCUUGAAAGGCUGCAACACCUGAGAGAUGCCUGGAGGCUUUUGGGAUCUUCAUGUGUUAGCUAUGGGAGUAGAUGAAAUAACCAAUGGAUAUCUAGCUCCUGUUCUAACUCUCUUUCCACUCUCAGCUGAAAAGGGGUGGUUUGGUGCAAAACCAGCCCUUGAAAGGUGAAAGCAGCUUCUGGAUGGUGGCAAGUCCUGGGUGGUGGUGGCAGCUCUCUUGCAUUUCUCACAAGGAGUCCUGGCUGCUGGCAGGGGUUGGCACAAGGACCGUGUUCACAUUUUUCACUCUGGGCUGCCCAGGAGGUUUGAAGUCAAUAUGCACACACCUGAAAGACAAAUGUGUCCCACCCGGGCCUGUUUGGCACAACAGUGACCCCUAAAGGCUCCUUAGAUUAAUGGUGUCUCCAGAGUUAGCUGGCUUGAAUUCUUAUUUAAAGGAAUUAGCCCAGUCCGUGUUUUCAUUGCUGAGGGGGCACAGGAUAAUGCUGCUAUCAGCUUCGUUAUUUACUUCAUCUCUGGCUCACUCAGCAGCUGCUUCCUUGAAUCAACAUGUCCCUACCAAAUUAUGGAAUUUAUCCUAGGAAACUUUCCAGAUCUCACCUAAGAGGAAAAAUUUUAAAAGCAGCAGCUCCUUCUCUUCAUCCUGAUGGCAGACCAGCAAAGACAAAUACUGGGAACACUGGUAGCAGUGGGCAACAUUUCUGCUGACUUGUUUUGGUAUCUGCUGCAGGGAUACUGGGAAAGUGGAAUUUUAGUGGUGCUGAAUGACACAUGAAAAGAGGUAGCUCGAGUUGCAUCCAGCUGAAAUUGAGGUCUUCAGACUGGUGCAGCUGCAAACACCCAUUUAAACCUUCAACUAAGUUUGAGAAUGAAGAAAAAUUGCGGAAGUCGGGCAGUUUGGUGGAAGAGAAGCAUCAGGAGUUCAAUGCGAAGACGGGAUGAUUCAUGAGGCCAAGCUGGUGGAAGGGUGAAGGAGGACGAAUGCAGAAAACUUGGAGGGCCCUCUCUCUGGUGACCUUGGCAGCAAAAGGGAAAAAAAAUACCAGAAAAUGAAAGUGACUGUCAACUCCCAACAGGGAUGGAUCACACCAUAAAUCAAGCAUAGCCCUGAGAGAGAAGAGAGGGGCUCAGGGUGGGGGGCGAGCGCGGAGCGGAAACCGUUGGGUGAUUUAACUCUUUGAACCUUGGAUGCCUUUUAUUCGUAGUCGAGCGAGUUGGUAAAACAUGUGUGAAUCCCUUCCCUUUGCGGUGGUUUACAUAAAAGUGUGUCAGGGGCAGAUAGAUGGUGAAACAUUGCUGUCCAUUGGCUGGGAUUUAGAGUACAGUACCAAUAAGUAUUUCCUUCAGCCCAGGAAAAGAGAAAAAUGAGAGACGGAGGCUCCUGUGACACAUAACUAAAUCAGUUGGUUGGGAGGCCUAAUCCGGGAGAGACUUUUGGGUGAUUUGCAGGGGAAAAAAAUAUAGAUUUAAGGACAUUAGUAUUUCUAUUACUGAAAUAAUCUAUUGAUCCAAACAGCAAGCAAAAAAAAAAAUUACUCCUUUAAGCCUGGAAUACAAAGGAAACGGAAGGUCUCUUGGCUUUUUUUAACUUUUAAUAUUUGUUUAGUUCUUGAAAUCUGUUCUCUGACAGAAGUGAAGGAGGUGACUACCACAGAGGGGGAGGUGACUGCCACAGAGGGGCUUGUAACUGUCAUCUGACAGGGCUGGAAGGGGAUUUGCAGGAAAUGUGAAUGUUACCUCUCUCAGUCAGAAUUAAAACAGUGUCUGAGCACUUUAUUUGCUAAAGAGAGGCACAGAGUAUUCCUUCCUGCUUUUCACAGGGGCUAUUUUUUUUUUACCCUUUGUCCUGAUACAUUUUCUUACAUUUUAAGGCUUUUCCCCCCCCUUUUUUUCCCAUCACAAUGGUUUUUUUGAGACCCAAAUGGAAGUGUUUUCACACCAUCCAUGAGCAGUGAGCACCUUUCAUUUCCAGCUGUAAAAAAAAGACUGACAGGAGAGCAUCUGUAGUCCUGCUGUGGUGGGAGGCAAACCCUGUGCUCAUCCACAGAUUUCCGUGAAGACACAGUGCAGCCUGUUCUGAUCCAUACUGCCAGGAAAGGUCGCUAUGGUUGUUGCAUUUGACUUCUGCCUUUCUGAAUAUUGAGGGGUGGCAGAAAUAACAGUGCUAGAGGCAUUAGAAAUACACCUUGGGAAUUCCAUGCUGGAAUGUUCCAUGCUGGGGCUCCUGCUGUGGUCCAGAGACUGGGGCCACAUUUUUGGAAGCAGCACCAGGGAGUAGCUGUUGUGUUUCCACACCCCUUAUGGUGGCCUUUACCACGGGUAUGGCACAGUUUUCCAUCCCCUGGGGAGAAGGCAAAGGAGGGAGCUGGCUUCCAAGCUCUUAAGGCUUGAUGGUGGUGGGAAGAUGCAAAGAAAUGUGAAUGGUGGGUUGAGGGAGAGGGGCUGUGUGCUGUGCUGAAUAGCUCCCAUUUGCAAAGAGGAGGAGAUUCCAGGAUCUGUGGCACUACACUGUAUUAGGCCAGUGAAAGUCAGGCUUCCUUGUACCUGGGGCAUCCUUUGGCCCACCUUUGUGUGGAGUGAGCCUAAAAAUUAACAUAAUUGUUCUUUCUCGACUUCAUUUUGAACCAACUUGCUGCUCUGUCUUGAGGCAUUUUCCUGCCUGGUGCUGGCCAGAAGAGGGGAUGGUGUCUGGCACUGUGCAGUAAUGGGGCACUGGGCAUGGGCUGUCACCUCCACCAGCACUCCCAAGGUCACCUCUGCACAGGAAGCCAUCACAGACUGGAUUUUGGGAGUAGCAUUAGCUCUAAAUUAGUAAGUAAGAAACUGCUUGCUGUGAUUUCCCAACACAGAGGUCGCAUGACAAGGUAGUGGCACUCUGGGAGAUGCUCCCAAGGAUGUGGGUGCAAAGAAAACAUCCAGAGAAUUCAGAGGGCUCCUGGAAUUCUGUUAGCAGGUUGCUUCUGAAAGGUAAAUCAGCUACCAGGAGGAGAGCAGAUAAGGGGCAGUGUGGGAUUCACAAAACAUGGCACAGUAUGUAGAGAUUCUUACAUGCCUGGCAGUUCACUUCUGGUACUGCUUUUUUUUAAUCUAAAUAUAGGGCUCAUCUCAAAGCCUCACAUGAGAAGUUGCAGAUCUAAUCAAGGUCAGAAGAACAUUAAAAAAAAUUGGAACAGGAAAAGGCCAUCAGGACCAAUGUUUCUGUUCCUUUUUUCCUCCUGUCUUAGCUCUGGAUCUUGGCUCUAAUUGCCAUUUAUUUUUUAUUGCUCUCACUAUACUUCUCAUAUAAUGUUUAUAUUAAUGGGCAGGGGGAGGGGGGAAGUGAAGAAACACCAGGAAAUGGAGUGCAAUUGGAGUAUGUGAGAUGUGGCUUUUGUCUUCUUUAUCACUGUUUUCUUGUAGUACUUCCAGCUCAGAUAUUAAUUUAUCAUUGAGAGUGCUGCAGAAGUGUGGUCCCUUGUAUUUUAUUGAAGGCUUGAUCUAAAUUCCAGAUGGUCACCAUGUGAUCAAACCAGCCCUGGGCAAAUAGGAUAUUUCUUUGUGUCUAUAUUUGAUUUCUUUGCCAAAUUCAUACCUAUCUAAUCUUCUGCCCAUGAGCCUGCAUUCAUUCAUUCAUUCUUUAAAGAAGUGUGCAACAGCUCCACCUCCUCAAGGGUUAGAGACAAUGAGGGUGAUUGCAAAUAUUCCCCAUCUAAAUGCAGUUAAAAUGUGAUGCUGUUGCAGACAAAUAAUAGCUUUUCACGUCACAAAAACGUCUAGCUGAAGUUUGCAACAGACAAAUAAUUCCUCAAAGAAUGAAGGGUUCUCAGAAAAUAUGCAGUGGGGGACGUGGGUGUAUUGACACGUUGCUGCUGCAAGGAAGUGCUUUGAUUUUGGGGAUGUGAAAUGCUCUGAAAUACUACUCAGGAAAAUCCACAGAGCCCUUCUGCUUGUGGAGUCCCUGCUUUACUGUAGGAGUUUAAUAGAUGUGAAUGAGAGACUGUCUGUACCAAGCAGGUUCUUUCUUAAAAAGAAAGGCAAAUUUCAGAUUAUAACAAAAUAUAUUUCAGAACACAGAAGUAACAAUAUAAAAACCUUCUUAAUCAUGAUAUGAUUAAAGGAUUUUUAAAAUCUGCCUUGUAGUCACAUUUCCAUUUCCUGAUAAAUUCCAUACUUUCUUUCAAAUCACUUCUCAUCAUAAUAAUACGAACUGUAAAAAAUCCUUCCAUUUCUGCAGCCUGCUAAAAAAAAUAAAAAAUGGGGGUGGAAAGGAGAGAAUUAAGAAGGCUCCAAGUUUUAUCAUUCUGUUCAUAAAGCAGCACAGCAACCAUAACUGCAGCACAGAAAAGAAACAGAUACUGUAAUGUCUGAGGUAUUCUGUGCCAUAAACUCCCAUAAUAGAAACAGAUGGCAAAAACGCGUUGGAAGUAGGGGAAGUACUGUACAUGCAGCUCUACCCUAACAUAUGAGGAGAUUCAGGCCUGACACGUAAAGGAAUACGUCUGGAGCUCUGCCAGCGCUACUGUGUGCUGCAGCAGUUGGUGCUGGAGAGGAGGGAACCUGCGAUUUUGGGCUUGGGGCUCCGUGGCAGCUCAGCAGCAGGACAUCUUCCUGUG
Passer domesticus (house sparrow) is the source of this 4621-nucleotide long non-coding RNA. RefSeq lists it as uncharacterized. The record is from RefSeq and is a predicted model, not a curated record. Lineage: Eukaryota; Metazoa; Chordata; Aves; Passeriformes; Passeridae. The transcript has 7 exons.